RNAcentral lists this long non-coding RNA (4087 nucleotides) under Sus scrofa (pig). RNAcentral describes it as "lncRNA (ENSSSCG00025010032.1)". Lineage: Eukaryota; Metazoa; Chordata; Mammalia; Artiodactyla; Suidae. The record is from RNAcentral.
UUGAUGCAAACAGCAAGAGGAUUUUUAUUCCGAGCGUGCUGGUGCCCACAGUCGUACGCCACGCAGGGGUAGAGGACUGCGGCCCCGAGUGUGGAGUCGGGACAGCUUUUAUGGGGUUCACAACAAAGCCCGCGCUUUUACAAACUAAUCAUUUUUAAAAUAUCGCAAACCAGUCAAUUCAAAACUUCGAGAGCCCGCGCUUUGUGGACCAAUUAAUUUUAAGUUGUUCUGGAGUUACAUGUUUGUGCCUGUCUCUGGGUGGGGGAGACAUAUUGUCACCAAGAUAUAUUUAUCAGGAUUUUCAACAUUUUGUGGCACGCCCGAUCUUACUGGGGUCCGUUAGGCAAUUGACUUCUCCUCUUUUUAUCUUAUGCAAGCAGGUUUACAGAAGCCAAACAAGCAGUUAGGAGCAGUUUCAAGAAGUUUCAAGCAUAGAGGCACAUACUCAGGGGCCUGUUUUUCCCCUUCCACAAAGUUUUGUACAGAGCAGAAAGCAAGCCCUAAAACAGCAAAAAGUAUGAUCUUUUACCUAUAGGGAACAGGGUCUGGAAUUCGAGGGCAUUUAGAGCUUCUUAUUAACUUCCUGGGUUCUGGGAGAGUCAGGUUGCAUUUUCAUCCUUUCAGUCCCCACUUCUUCUCUUGUUAAUAGUUCUAAUCUUAGAACUAGGAAGGCUAAAGGUCAGUUUCUCCUUAGCUUGGAAGGCCUUGGUACUGCUGUCUAAGUACCAUGAUCCGAACUGCACUCACUUGUUCUCUAACAAAGGCAACAAACCGAUUAAUUAAGCAAGGCCCAACUGCUCAGUGGGGACUGAUCCAGAGGUUGUAUUGUAAUCAGAGGGGUUAGGAGAUGGCCUCUGUUCUUGGAUUGGAGGUCCUUGUUCGGCCAAACCCUUAUUUGGUCCUAUAGCAACCGGAGGUUCCAUCUGAGUUUCUAUUCUGAGGCGAAUAGUCAGAACAGAUCCUUUCUUUCUCCCAGAGCCUCCAUAGUACACUAUUCCCCAAGACAUACCAUUUACCCACUUUUGAAUAUUUUCUUGUUUUCCUUUUUCAGUGAAACUUAUUUUUAAGUAAUCUAGGUCUAACGAAUGACAGCUUAUUUGCUUAUUUCGUACAUCUUUUUGUACCCGCUGUUGCCAAUCUUUCCAUCUCCCAUGGCCAUAAUUAAAUUGAUUAUAACUGGUAGGAUUGUUAACAAAAGAGUAACUUACUCUGUCUUGCUGAGAGACUGGCCAUUUCCAAUUCCCAUCAUUAGAAGUUACGCAGCUCCAUUGCUUGCAAAAGAAAUCCUGAGGAUUUCCACAAUAUUCUUCAUUAUUUGGGGGUCCUGGGCAAACGUAAAACCCGUAAGCACGGAGUACAUCGGGGGGUGUGGCCUGGUCAUUGAGACCAGGGAUUACUGAUCGAAGGCAGACAUAUAAUUCAGGCCACCAGGUCCCCAAGGGAGCCUCCCCUUGAGUGCUGUUAAUAUUAAUACCUGUACCGGAGUCAGUAAGUAACCAGGUGAGAGAUAAGGGUUUAUGGGAGUUCGGGCUGUCCACAAGGCGUUUACCAUUAACUUGAGGAGUUAUUGACAGAGUAAGGAACCACGCGAUGGAGGCGAAGCUUAAGGGGAUUUUCAGUCUUUUCGGCUUUCCACCCCGAAUCGGGAGGUGGCGCCGGCUUAACGUGGGAUGCAUGGAUCCAGGUGGGGAUUCCUUCGACUUUCACAGCCGUUGGUGUGGUCAAAAGUACGAGAUAAGGUCCCUUCCACCGAGUCUCGAGGUUUCCUGCACGGUGGCGUCUAACAUAGACUGAAUCUCCAACUUGGAAGCGAUGUGGAACUUGCAAGUCUCCUCCUGAGUAGGCCUCCCGGAGCUGCUUCCACGCUCGCUGCCUCACCCACUCGAGCGCCUUGAGCCUAGAGAACAAAGGCUGGGAAAGCAGCACAUCAGCACUAUGUGCAAAGGCAAUUUCUGCCAACGGGGGGGGUCCCCCGUAGAGCAAUUCAUAGGGGGUCAGCCCAAACUGUCCAGGGGUGUUCCUCACCCUAAAAAGCACAAAGGGCAGGAGAGCUAUCCAAUCAUUAAUGCCAGUCUCUGUGGUCAAUUUGGUAAGGGUCUCUUUAAUGGUUCUAUUCAUCCUCUCUACCUGUCCUGAGCUUUGGGGUCUGUAUGCACAAUGCAGUUUCCAAUCAAUCCCCAAUAUCUUGGCCAGUCCCUGACUUACCUGGGCAACGAAAGCUGGACCAUUGUCUGACCCUAUUACCUUAGGUAUUCCAAAUCUUGGAAAAAUUUCCUCCAGUAUUUUCUUAGCCACCACGGUUGAAGUCUCUUUCUUAGUAGGAUAAGCCUCUACCCAUCCUGAAAAGGUGUCUACAAAAACCAAUAGAUAUUUGUUUCCGUAUUUAGCCGGCUUUACCUCAGUGAAGUCCACUUCCCAGUGAGCGCCUGGGUGGCUUCCCCUUAGUCUCUUUCCUGGAGGUAUUCUGGAAGGAUUAGCAUUAACCAGCUGGCAGGGCACACAAUGUUUGACCACCGAGUCAGCCACUCCUGGUAGCCUCAGAACAUGAUAAGGGGAUGUUCUGACCAACUGCUGCAGGUGUUUAGUUCCUAGGUGGGUUAGACGAUGUAUCUGUUGGACAUAUUCUAACCCUUCUUUGUGGGGCAGGAUUUCCUUCCCAUCUGAGGUAUAGCAGGUCCCCUCCGGAGUUUCAGAGAACUGGUCUAUCUUUUUUAUUUCUUGCCAGUCUUCUAGGGUGUACUGUCGUCCGGGUUCUGGGGCUUUGGGUGUUUCUAUCAUAGGCAGAAGGUUAACACCCUGGGCUGCCUGCUUGGCAACCCGGUCAGCCAUCUGGUUCCCUCUGGAUAUGGGAUCUUUGGCUUUCUGAUGUCCAGGACAGUGUAUAAUAGCUAGCCUUUUUGGCAAAUGUAAGGCUUCUAAUAGGCUUAGAAUUUCCUCUUUGUUCUUUAUUUCCCUCCCUGCUGAGGUAAGCAACCCCCUUUGCUUAUAGAUGGCCCCGUGUACGUGUGCAGUCGCAAAGGCAUACCUGCUGUCUGUAUAAAUGUUUAUGGAUUUCCCUUCGGCCAGCCGCAAAGCUUGCGUGAGGGCCAUGAGCUCAGCCUUUUGUGCUGAAGUUCCUUCCGGCAGGCUGCUGGCCCAGAUCGUGCGGGUCCCGUCCACCACCGCCGCCCCAGCCAUCCUCUUACCUUCCACCACAUAGCUGCUUCCGUCAGUGAACCAGGUUAACACUUCUCCAGUCAGCGGUAUGUCUGUAAGGUCCUUGCGGACCCCAGUCUCCUCAAUCAAUAGUUGAUGGCAAUCAUGAGUCACUGGUUCAUCAGUCUCUUCAGGCAGAAGAGUGGCAGGGUUGAGAGCGGCUGGUGGAGCGAACGUGACCCUCUCUGUGAGAAGCAGGCUUUGAUAGUGGGUCAUGCGGGCGUUGGUCAUCCAUCGGUCUGGGGGCUGCCGAACGAUGUUCUCCAACGCAUGGGGGGCUAUUACAGUUAUAUUCUGUCCCAAAGUCAAUUUGUCAGCGUCCUUGACCAGUAUGGCCACAGCUGCGAUAGCCUUCAGGCAUACGGGCCAACCACUGGCUACAGGAUCGAGCUUCUUUGACAGGUAGGCAACAGGUCUCCUCCAUGGUCCUAGGGUUUGGGUUAAAACUCCCCGGGCUACUCCCUUACGCUCAUCCACAUAAAGGGUAAAGGGUUUAGUCACGUCAGGGAGGGCCAGAGCAGGUGCGCUCAGCAGGGCCUUUUUGAUAGCAUCAAAUGCCUUCUGGUGCUCAGGAGCCCAGGAGAAUUCCCCUUUUUCUUUGGUUAGUGGGUAGAGUGGGGCUGCUAAGGUCGCAAACCCCGGGAUCCACAGUCUGCAAAAUCCAGCUGUCCCCAAAAACUCUCUCACUUGUUUGGCUGUGGUUGGGGCCGGUAUCUGGACUACAGUUCUCUUCCGUGCCUCCGUCAGCCAUCGCUGCCCGCCCCGCAAACUGUACCCCAAGUAUGUUACCUCUCUCCUGCAAAUCUGGGCCUUCUUAGCGGAGGCUCUGUAGCCUAGGUCAGACAAUUCCAGCAGUAGUGCCUUCGUACCUUCUAAGCAGUCCUGUUUGGUG